CACAUGGGGUCGGUGAGCUCUGGAGAAACUAGCAGCUCGCGAAGGAAUGCUACAUGGUGAUCCUAUGAGGAACAACACCUGUGGAAUAGCCGAUAGAUGAGCUAGAUGCACGAGAUGAGAAAGCUGAACAAAGGGGACAUCUUGUGAAAGACCUAAAAUCAAUGCCUAUUGAUGAAGAUCCAAGCAAAGUAGUGAAGAUUGGCUCGAACC
This 210-nucleotide long non-coding RNA is filed under the name Elaeis guineensis (African oil palm). Its description in RNAcentral is "long non-coding RNA (EGUI_LNC040079)". The record is from RNAcentral. Lineage: Eukaryota; Viridiplantae; Streptophyta; Magnoliopsida; Arecales; Arecaceae.